RNAcentral lists this ribosomal RNA (425 nucleotides) under uncultured Allobaculum sp. Its description in RNAcentral is "partial 16S ribosomal RNA". Lineage: Bacteria; Bacillati; Bacillota; Erysipelotrichia; Erysipelotrichales; Erysipelotrichaceae. The record is from RNAcentral.
CACGUAGUUAGCCGUGACUUUCUGGCGGGGCACCAUCAGUCAGCACCCAUUCCUGAUGCUGCCUUUUUUCCCCCGCAACAGAGCUUUACGACCCGAAGGCCUUCUUCACUCACGCGGCAUCGCUCGUUCAGGCUUGCGCCCAUUGACGAAAAUUCCCUACUGCUGCCUCCCGCAGGAGUCUGGGCCGUGUCUCAGUCCCAAUGUGGCCGUCCGCCCUCUCAGGCCGGCUAUGCAUCAUCGUCUUGGUGGCCUUUACCCGCCAACCAACUAAUGCACCGCAGGUCCAUCCGCGCCCCAUCCCCUAAAGGAUCGUUUCACAGAAAGAAGAUGCCUCCUUCCUGUACAUCGGGUAUUUCGUUCUCCGUUUCCAGAGUCGUAUUCCCGGUGCGCGGGCAGGUUCCCUAGUUCGUUACUCCGACCCGUUC